UUUCGAAUCAUUCACAAUGGGGGAAACCCUGAUGGUGCGACGUCGCGUGAGGGAUGAAGGUCUUCGGAUUGUAAACCUCUGUCAUCAAGGAGUAAUGGUAAGGUUCAUAGCCUUAUUUGAAUUAACUUGAAGAGGAAGUAGUGGCUAACUCUGUGCCAGCAGCCGCGGUAAUACAGAGACUACGAGCGUUACUCGGAUUCACUGGGCGUAAAGGGAGCGCAGGCGGAAUGAUAUGUCAGGUGUGAAAUCCUGGGGCUUAACCCCAGAGCUGCGCCUGAAACUAUUUUUCUAGAGACUUGGAGAGGUAAGUGGAAUUUCUAGUGUAGCAGUGAAAUGCGUAGAUAUUAGAAGGAACACCAAUGGCGAAGGCAGCUUACUGGACAAGAUCUGACGCUCAGGCUCGAAAGCAUGGGUAGCAAAAG
Molecule: ribosomal RNA, 422 nt
Filed under: uncultured Puniceicoccaceae bacterium
Lineage: Bacteria; Pseudomonadati; Verrucomicrobiota; Opitutia; Puniceicoccales; Puniceicoccaceae
Description: partial 16S ribosomal RNA
Rfam family: Bacterial small subunit ribosomal RNA
Source: RNAcentral